CGGUGAAUACGUUCCCGGACCUUGUACACACCGCCCGUCAAGCCAUGGAAGCCGGGUGUACCUAAAGUCGAUAACCGUAAGGAGUCGCCUAGGGUAAAACUGGUGACUGGGGCU
RNAcentral lists this ribosomal RNA (114 nucleotides) under uncultured bacterium. RNAcentral's name for it is "partial 16S ribosomal RNA". It matches the Rfam family "Bacterial small subunit ribosomal RNA", at positions 1360 to 1482 of the family's 1533-position model. The record is from RNAcentral.